Molecule: ribosomal RNA, 264 nt
Filed under: uncultured bacterium
Lineage: Bacteria
Description: partial 16S ribosomal RNA
Source: RNAcentral
CUGCUGCCUCCCGUAGGAGUCUGGUCCGUGUCUCAGUACCAGUGUGGGGGACCUUCCUCUCAGAACCCCUACGCAUCGUCGCCACGGUGGGCCGUUACCCCGCCGUCUAGCUAAUGCGCCGCAUGCCCAUCCUCUUCCGAUGAAUCUUUCCUCGAUCUCGGAUGCCCGAAACCGAUAUACGCGGGAUUAGCCUCCCUUCGGAAGGUUGUCCCCCUGAAGAGGGCAGGUUGCAUACGUGUUACUCACCCGUGCGCCGGUCGCCGG